GAUGAACGCUGGCGGCGUGCCUAACACAUGCAAGUCGAGCGAUCUCUUCGGAGAGAGCGGCGGACGGGUGAGUAACGCGUGGGUAACCUGCCCUGUACACACGGAUAACAUACCGAAAGGUAUGCUAAUACGGGAUAAUAUAUAAAAGUCGCAUGGCUUUUAUAUCAAAGCUCUUGCGGUACAGGAUGGACCCGCGUCUGAUUAGCUAGUUGGUAAGGUAACGGCUUACCAAGGCGACGAUCAGUAGCCGACCUGAGAGGGUGAUCGGCCACACUGGAACUGAGACACGGUCCAGACUCCUACGGGAGGCAGCAGUGGGGAAUAUUGCACAAUGGGCGAAAGCCUGAUGCAGCAACGCCGCGUGAGCGAUGAAGGCCUUCGGGUCGUAAAGCUCUGUCCUCAAGGAAGAUUAUGACGGUACUUGAGGAGGAAGCCCCGGCUAACUACGUGCCAGCAGCCGCCGUAA
Molecule: ribosomal RNA, 466 nt
Filed under: uncultured bacterium
Lineage: Bacteria
Description: partial 16S ribosomal RNA
Rfam family: Bacterial small subunit ribosomal RNA
Source: RNAcentral